Molecule: unclassified non-coding RNA, 355 nt
Filed under: soil metagenome
Description: partial contains 5.8S ribosomal RNA, internal transcribed spacer 2, and large subunit ribosomal RNA
Rfam family: 5.8S ribosomal RNA (bases 1-120)
Source: RNAcentral
GAUGAAGAACGCAGCGAAAUGCGAUAAGUAGUGUGAAUUGCAGAAUUCAGUGAAUCAUCGAAUCUUUGAACGCACAUUGCGCCUUCUAGUAUUCUGGGAGGCAUGCCUGUUUGAGCGUCAUUAAACCUCUCUCAAGUAUGAUUACUUGGAUGUGAAGGAAGAGUACCUUAAACUUAAGGAGUGUUCUCCUUUGAAAUUGAUUAGCAGAUGGUAAUGUUAUUAAAUCCCUGAUGUUGUAAGAAAUAACAGUGGUUUUGUAGACUAUUAUCUAGCUUUAAAUUAUAAUUUUUAUUAUGGUUGACCUCAAAUCAGGUAAGGAUACCUGCUGAACUUAAGCAUAUCAAUAAGCGGAGGA